RNAcentral lists this ribosomal RNA (729 nucleotides) under uncultured beta proteobacterium. RNAcentral describes it as "bacterial SSU rRNA". It matches the Rfam family "Bacterial small subunit ribosomal RNA", at positions 46 to 764 of the family's 1533-position model. Lineage: Bacteria; Pseudomonadati; Pseudomonadota; Betaproteobacteria. The record is from RNAcentral.
GCCUUACACAUGCAAGUCGAACGGCAGCAUGAUCUAGCUUGCUAGAUUGAUGGCGAGUGGCGAACGGGUGAGUAAUACAUCGGAACGUGCCCUGUAGUGGGGGAUAACUAGUCGAAAGAUUAGCUAAUACCGCAUACGACCUGAGGGUGAAAGUGGGGGACCGCAAGGCCUCAUGCUAUAGGAGCGGCCGAUGUCUGAUUAGCUAGUUGGUGAGGUAAAGGCUCACCAAGGCGACGAUCAGUAGCUGGUCUGAGAGGACGAUCAGCCACACUGGGACUGAGACACGGCCCAGACUCCUACGGGAGGCAGCAGUGGGGAAUUUUGGACAAUGGGCGAAAGCCUGAUCCAGCAAUGCCGCGUGUGUGAAGAAGGCCUUCGGGUUGUAAAGCACUUUUGUCCGGAAAGAAAUGGCUCUGGUUAAUACCUGGGGUCGAUGACGGUACCGGAAGAAUAAGGACCGGCUAACUACGUGCCAGCAGCCGCGGUAAUACGUAGGGUCCAAGCGUUAAUCGGAAUUACUGGGCGUAAAGCGUGCGCAGGCGGUUGUGCAAGACCGAUGUGAAAUCCCCGAGCUUAACUUGGGAAUUGCAUUGGUGACUGCACGGCUAGAGUGUGUCAGAGGGGGGUAGAAUUCCACGUGUAGCAGUGAAAUGCGUAGAGAUGUGGAGGAAUACCGAUGGCGAAGGCAGCCCCCUGGGAUAACACUGACGCUCAUGCACGAAAGCGUGG